GAUGAACGCUGGCGGCGUGCCUAAUACAUGCAAGUCUAGCGAACGGACGAGAAGCUUGCUUCUCUGAUGUUAGCGGUGGACGGGUGAGUAACACGUGGAUAACCUACCUAUAAGACUGGGAUAACUUCGGGAAACCGGAGCUAAUACCGGAUAAUAUUUUGAACCGCAUGGUUCAAAAGUGAAAGACGGUCUUGCUGUCACUUAUAGAUGGAUCCGCGCUGCAUUAGCUAGUUGGUAAGGUAACGGCUUACCAAGGCAACGAUGCAUAGCCGACCUGAGAGGGUGAUCGGCCACACUGGAACUGAGACACGGUCCAGACUCCUACGGGAGGCAGCAGUAGGGAAUCUUCCGCAAUGGGCGAAAGCCUGACGGAGCAACGCCGCGUGAGUGAUGAAGGUCUUCGGAUCGUAAAACUCUGUUAUUAGGGAAGAACAUAUGUGUAAGUAACUGUGCACAUCUUGACGGUACCUAAUCAGAAAGCCACGGCUAACUACGUG
This 497-nucleotide ribosomal RNA is filed under the name uncultured bacterium. RNAcentral's name for it is "partial 16S ribosomal RNA". It matches the Rfam family "Bacterial small subunit ribosomal RNA", at positions 28 to 507 of the family's 1533-position model. The record is from RNAcentral.